GUCCACGCCCUAAACGAUGGGCACUAGGUGUGGGAGGUAUCGACCCCUUCCGUGCCGCAGCUAACGCAUUAAGUGCCCCGCCUGGGGAGUACGGCCGCAAGGUUGAAACUCAAAGGAAUUGACGGGGGCCCGCACAAGCGGUGGUGCAUGUGGUUUAAUUCGACGCAACGCGAAGAACCUUACCUGGGCUUGACAUCCCUGGAAUCCCCCUUGAAAGAGGGGAGUGCCCCGCAAGGGGAGCCAGGAGACAGGUGCUGCAUGGCUGUCGU
Molecule: ribosomal RNA, 269 nt
Filed under: uncultured bacterium
Lineage: Bacteria
Description: partial 16S ribosomal RNA
Rfam family: Bacterial small subunit ribosomal RNA
Source: RNAcentral